RNAcentral lists this ribosomal RNA (406 nucleotides) under uncultured bacterium. RNAcentral describes it as "partial 16S ribosomal RNA". It matches the Rfam family "Bacterial small subunit ribosomal RNA", at positions 30 to 526 of the family's 1533-position model. The record is from RNAcentral.
AUUGAACGCUGGCGGCAGGCUUAACACAUGCAAGUCGAGCGAGCGGCGGACGGGUGAGUAAUGUCUGGGGAACUGCCUGAUGGAGGGGGAUAACUACUGGAAACGGUAGCUAAUACCGCAUACCAUCAGAUGUACCCAUAUGGGAUUAGCUAGUAGGUGGGGUAAUGGCUCACCUAGGCGACGAUCCCUAGCUGGUCUGAGAGGAUGAUCAGCAACACUGGGACUGAGACACGGUCCAGACUCCUACGGGAGGCAGCAGUGGGGAAUAUGGCACAAUGGGCGCAAGCCUGAUGCAGCCAUGCCGCGUGUAUGAAGAAGGCCUUCGGGUUGUAAAGUACUUUCAGCGAGGAGGCGUUACUCGCAGAAGAAGCACCGGCUAACUCCGUGCCAGCAGCCGCGGUAAUAC